CACCCUGCGGCAACUGAGUGUCUUUUCCCUGUAACUCAGGAAGAAUCCUGACAGACAAGCCAAACGAAUGGAAACACAUGAACUAUGAACCAAUGGCUGAGGGGUCCCCAACAGGAUCAGGCCCUCUGAAUGGAUUGAGAAAAAAAUACAAGAAUACUAAUAUAUCAAACUAAAGGGACAAGAAGAAAACAAAGCAUCCUCAAAAGCUGCAACAAAGGAAGUUUCUACUUGAUUCAUAUUGAUCGCCUGCCUCCAACAGCAUUGUAUCAACUUGAUUAGUGGCUCUUCUACAAGGCCCCCUUGGUGGAACUGAUGCUCUGUGAUGGAAGCCAAUAGUCCAACCAUUAGAUAGAGCACUGAUAGAUUCAGUGGCAGGAGGAAUGGGGACAUGGCACAACACAUGCUGGAUCUUAUUCACCUGGCUUCCCUAGAGUUAAACAGAAAUUUUAAAGAGUACAUAUUGGAGGAACCACUGAAUGUCUUAAAGAACAGCUGAACGAAGACCUGGUCCUAGGAAGAACAGAACUCUCCAACCCUUCAUAUAGCAGAAUUGACAAUAUAGACAAAAUGAAGCUGGAGGUGAGAGCAUCUCUCAAGACUGUGGUAGCCAGAAUGGAAAAACAAUGAGAAAACCAUCUUAACUCUGAUUAACAAAUCAAAGCAUACUCAAAGAAGGGUACUUAUCACAAAAGAGAUUGCACAUGAUGUGGGCAGAAUGUUGUGCAAGGAGAAUCUAAUAAUACACACACACACACACACACACACACACACACACACACACACACAUCCAGAAAGAGAAGCAUACAUACUACAAAAAUGUAAACUUUAAAACACCAGUAAAUAAAAUAAUUA
Long non-coding RNA from Peromyscus eremicus (cactus mouse), 852 nucleotides. RefSeq lists it as uncharacterized. The record is from RefSeq and is a predicted model, not a curated record. The transcript has 6 exons. NCBI's taxonomy places the organism in Eukaryota, Metazoa, Chordata, Mammalia, Rodentia, Cricetidae.